GAUGAACGCUAGCGGGAGGCCUAACACAUGCAAGCCGAGCGGUAGAGUCUCUUCGGAGUCUUGUGAGCGGCGCACGGGUGCGGAACACGUGUGCAACCUGCCUUUAUUUGGGGGAUAGCCUUUCGAAAGGAAGAUUAAUACCCCAUAAUAUACUGGAUGGCAUCAUCUGGUAUUGAAAACUCCGGUGGAUAGAGAUGGGGACGCGCAAGAUUAGAUAGUUGGUGAGGUAACGGCUCACCAAGUCAGCGAUCUUUAGGGGGCCUGAGAGGGUGAUCCCCCACACUGGUACUGAGGCACAGACCAGACUCCUACGGGAGGCAGCAGUGAGGAAUAUUGGACAAUGGGUGAGGGCCUGAUCCAGCCAUCCCGCGUGAAGGACGACGGCGCUAGGGGUUGUAAACUUCUUUUGUAUAGGGAUAAACCUAGAUACGUGUAUCUAGCUGAAGGUACUAUACGAAUAAGCACCGGCUAACUCCGUG
Molecule: ribosomal RNA, 479 nt
Filed under: uncultured bacterium
Lineage: Bacteria
Description: partial 16S ribosomal RNA
Rfam family: Bacterial small subunit ribosomal RNA
Source: RNAcentral